UGGUCCGUUGGUCAAGGGGUUAAGACACCGCCUUUUCACGGCGGUAACACGGGUUCGAAUCCCGUACGGACUAUUUU
Molecule: transfer RNA, 77 nt
Filed under: Streptococcus salivarius SK126
Lineage: Bacteria; Bacillati; Bacillota; Bacilli; Lactobacillales; Streptococcaceae
Description: tRNA-Glu
Rfam family: tRNA
About the family: Transfer RNA (tRNA) molecules are approximately 80 nucleotides in length. Their secondary structure includes four short double-helical elements and three loops (D, anti-codon, and T loops).
Source: RNAcentral